GCAGUCAUGGCCGAGCGGUUAAGGCGAUGGAAUAGAAAUCCAUUGGGGUCUCCCCGCACAGGUUCGAAUCCUGUCGACUGCG
RNAcentral lists this transfer RNA (82 nucleotides) under Rhipicephalus sanguineus (brown dog tick). RNAcentral's name for it is "transfer RNA serine (anticodon AGA)". It matches the Rfam family "tRNA". Rfam says of the family: Transfer RNA (tRNA) molecules are approximately 80 nucleotides in length. Their secondary structure includes four short double-helical elements and three loops (D, anti-codon, and T loops). Further hydrogen bonds mediate the characteristic L-shaped molecular structure. tRNAs have two regions of fundamental functional importance: the anti-codon, which is responsible for specific mRNA codon recognition, and the 3' end, to which the tRNAs corresponding amino acid is attached (by aminoacyl-tRNA synthetases). tRNAs cope with the degeneracy of the genetic code in two manners: having more than one tRNA (with a specific anti-codon) for a particular amino acid; and 'wobble' base-pairing, i.e. permitting non-standard base-pairing at the 3rd anti-codon position. The record is from Rfam by way of RNAcentral. Lineage: Eukaryota; Metazoa; Arthropoda; Arachnida; Ixodida; Ixodidae.